AAGGAACUUCAGAUAAGGCCCAACCCAAAGCCAUCGUUCAGAAAAAAAAAAAAAACCCCUAACUCAUAUAAAUACUCUCAUUAACACAAACCCUAAAAAACCUUCAGCCGUUUCUCUUCUCUUCUCCUCUCCAGAACCUUCAGCCGUUUCUUCAAACCCUAGCCGCCACCCAACCAGAAUCCCUCCUCCCACCAUGACUACAACCUCAUCUCAUCACUUCUCCACAAAAACCCUAGCCGCCCUCUCUCUCUCUCUCUCUCUCUCUCUCUCAUAUAUCUGACGUCCCCAUCAUCAUCUUCUUCUUCCUCCCUUUCUCCUUCUCAUCUUCCCGUUCUCCCCCUCAUCCUUUCUUCCCCUUCUUUUUUCCUCUUCUUAUACUGUUCUUCAAACCCGAUUCUUCUUCUUCCUCAUUUUCGCCCCCAACCGAUCCAAAACCCUAACUUUCGCCCCCUACCGAUCGAAAACCCUCAUUUUUCUCCAAAACCGAGUUAAGAAGCACCUGGAUCGGAGAUUUUUAAAACGAUUUGAUGCAUGCAAGGCUCGUUGCUAUCCAAGCAACGAUUUUUUCACCAAAAUCCGAGGGAAGAAGCACCUGGAUCGGACAUUUAAGGCUCUGAGAUCAUCUCCCUGUCAACCAAACUGGACUUGCAAGCCAGCCUUUGAAGAUGGAUUUUUUUUUUCAUGUAAAUAUCAAUAUUCAGUGUAAAAGAACGAUUUUUUACUGUAAAGUUUGAUUUUUUAUGUAAAGUUUGGAUUUUUAUUAAUAUUGCUAUAAGAUGUAUGCUAAAUGCUAACCUCUUUAAUGCUCA
Lotus japonicus is the source of this 809-nucleotide long non-coding RNA. RefSeq lists it as uncharacterized. The transcript has 2 exons. Lineage: Eukaryota; Viridiplantae; Streptophyta; Magnoliopsida; Fabales; Fabaceae. The record is from RefSeq and is a predicted model, not a curated record.